GUGAAGCCAAACGACGGCAGCAUCGACAUGGCCGAGCGCGGCGGCGGCCGCAGGAGGAAGAGGAGAAGGAGGAGGAGGACGAGGAGGAGGCGACGGGCACCCCGCGGGAGCGCGGCGGCGGAGGGGCGCGGGGUGCUCGGCUCGGGAAGAGCACGGACCUGAGAGUUUGUAACUUCUGGGUGAGGAGGAGAGAAACGCAACGCGGGACUGGGGAAACCCCUGGGCAUUGUAACGAGAGCGGGCUUCUCUUGCCCUCACAGUUCUCCUUUUUUUUGUUGUUCUCUUUUUCUUUUUUUUUUUUUCUCCUGUAAAAGGCCGACCAAAACAAACACCGCCCUUGUUGGGAAUAAGCAAAUUAUCCCGAUGCGGCCGGCGGAAGAACUGACAGACACGGGCGAGGGCUGAGCGGAGGCUUCCUCGCGAUUCUUGAGCGGGACUUUAUUCUCCCUUCUCAUCAAAAUUCACAAAAGGAGGGGACAGACCCGUCGGGGUCUACCUGGGAGUUGCUGCAGGCAAGGACCGCUGAGCAUCUAUGUUCGUUAAGGCUCCAGGCUUGGUUUGCCUAAAAAUUGGGAACCUUUCAUUUAGAACCACGGGAAGAGGCUAAUGUAUUUCCAGAACACCCCAUCCCAUUUAACCCUUGAAAAAUCACAAAAGCAACUACAAAAAUGAGAGUUUCGAGCCGCUCAAAAAAUAAAAACAUAAACAAGGAAGCAAAUAAAAUGAGCAAAAAUUAGCAAAAAGCCACCGAGCAAGACAACGGCGCAGAGCUGCCGCUGGCCCCUCUCGGUGCUUCCUUUGCCGGCGGGGCAGGAGCAGCCGGGCAGCAUCACCCGGCAGCAUCAUCGGGCAGCAUCACCAGGCAGCAUCACCCCGCUCCCCGCCUGGCCGGAGCUCCCGGGGCUGCCCCCGCCGCCGGGGCCUGGCCCCUCCGCGCCCGCGGAGAGGUGGCGGCCGAGCGAGGGGGCCUCCCCUGCUCGCCCCCAUUGCCCGGGCACCCAUCGGCUCUGUUUGUGCGGGAAAUUCAUUUAUUCCCUUAUUUAUUCGAUGUAUUUAUACAACGCAGGGCGGGGAUGAAGAUGGAGCCCACGAAAUGCGCUGCGGGUUUUUCCUCUAUUUCGCCAGAAAAUCAAAACAAAGCAGAAAAAAAAGUAAACCAAAUACAUCCCCCAUUUCCUUCCGAGCUUAGAAAUAAAGCUCUUCCCCAAUCAAAAGUAAAAUUUAAUUUUUUUUUUCCCCCUAUAAGUGCGAAGGUAUAGAGGAAACAAAUAGCUCAGCAAAAUAAAACCAGCAGAGGGUUUUUGGGAGCCGCUUCUCGUCGGGAUGAGAACCGGGGCUGGAGGCUGGGAACCGGCGGGGCAGAAACACAACGCUGCCACUCGCCGAACAUUUCGAAGGCGAAAUCCAAAACCGGCCCAUUAAGUCAAUGAGGUUUGUGUUGUAGAGGCUCCUUUCCCAUCCACUUGCUGUUCUGAAAAAUAGAUCGCAUUUCGUUAUCUCGAGUGAGGAUCUGCAACGUGAUACCGGAUCCGCGCCGCCUUCCCCGCCGAAUGCGAGGCGCAGGGAGACAGCCAGCUUCCCGGCUUAUUCCCCAACAAUAAAGGAUUUGUAUUUUCUUUCUCCCCCCCUCUCCCCCCCCCCCUCGUUUAUUAUUCUAUUUUUUAAUGAGGAAGAACAAACCCCUCUCCAUAUGCACCGCUCUUCUCUUGCAGGAGCCUCUGGCCCGGCUCGCCUGCAGACCGGUGCGACCUUUAAUUACUUGUUAGUAAAUUGCCCUCCCGACACCUGUAAAAACAAAGCCGGUGUCCGCGGGGCGGGGGCCGCGUCCCUGCCCGGGCCCCGCGCCCCGGGGGUGCCACCGAGGGGUCCCCCCGCAUCCAGCGGGGUCAGGCCGGGCCGGGGCUGCCCGAGGAGGGCCGGGCCGGGCCGGGCCGGGAUGCUGGGGCAGGAGAAGGAUGAGGAUAAGGCCUUCCCGAUGUGGCCGAUCCCCAGGGCACAAAGGGCUCUUUCUUCGUGCACUUACCGGGACAUUUUUCAAAGGAUUAGAGGUGAUCACGCGUUGUUUUCUUCUCUCCGAGGGCCGACACGUCUUUCUGUCCCUGUCCCCCCCACCUCCACCCUUAUUUCCUCCCGCUUUUGCCAUGGGACCCCCAGAUCCCGUUCCCCCCUUUCCUUUUCGUUAAUGUACCUCCUGGAUGCUGAUUCUUUUAAGCUACGAAGAAUUUCCUUUUGGGAGGUGAAACCCUCCAGCUCCUCCUGUUCAGAGGAAAGUGCUAGUGAUGGUAAUACGGGGUGACACUAAAUAAACAGUUAAAGCAGGGCUGGAAAGAUGGAGUUAAUUAUCCAGUGAGCUACAUUUAAACCGAGACCAGGAGGGGCUGAUUUGUUUUGGCGCAGGGAACUGAGAAGGAGACGAGCCACCGAGGUCUCCUUGCUCCUCUUUGGUGGCUCUUUAACUUGUCCUUGCUGUCGCCAGCCCGGGGACCGGCGUCCUUUGGCCCGGGAGGGGGAGCCCCCGGCUGGGACCCCCGAACCGUGGCCCGCCCGGCCCGCGGCCGCAGCGCUGGGAGUCUGUGCGAGCCGUGCAUGGGAGCAGGCGAUUUCAGGGAGUCCAGAGGCGAGUUUUCCUUGUUUGUUUGCUUUUGCUUCCCAGAAGUUAGAUAAAUUCUCGUCGGUGUGGCUCGCCGGUGCCUGUGCUCUCAGGAUCCUGUUGGAGCUUCAUCUGGAAUGAUUCUGGAGGUGUUGACUGCAGGGAAGAAGUCACAGUUUCCAACGUAUCACAACUGACAGUGAAGUUCCUUCAGUUCUGGGAGAUUUCCAGCAAUUCCACUUAACUCCCAAAGCUCAGCUGUGAAUGCACCUGGGGUUGCACUUCUUGAGCAGAGCCCUCUGCAACCACAUUUGUGAUCUGAUGUCCUGGCUGAAGUAACCUGCUCCUGCAGAGUGCACAGGUGCAGCAGGCUGAACUCUGCAAUGACCACGGUGGGGACACAUCACUCCUUCUGCCAAGACCCCAGAGAGGCAGAAACCUUCGUCCUGGGGACAGGCAGGGGCAGAAAGCCCUGAUAGUGCCUGAGAACGAGCAGCCAGAACUCAGGAGUGUGUUCUUGGGCAGGGUUUGAAGAGAAGCUGAGUUAAGCUCACAUUUUGGAGGUACCCUCCUAGCAGAGCUGAGUUCUCCUGCAUGUUCAUUCCAGAACUGUGAGCAGCAGGGAGGAGAAGGGGAAUGAUGAGUGCAGAAACCAGAGGGUGCAGAAAGCAGAGGGGCUCUUGCAGGGUGUGCUGUGUCCCAGCUGAUGAUGGGUGUGGUGCAGGUUUUGACAUCAGGACAAGGAAUUCUUUGCAGGCCAAGGUCUGGCAGGGCUUGGUCAGGCUGUGCAGGGUGAGAGAGGGGUGGUGACUGUCCCCUGGAGCCACAUCCAAGAGGAAAGAGCUAUUCCAGGGGGGAGAAUGAGCUUGAUGUUGGGAGAAGAUCUCCAGCACACGGUGCUCUGCAGUAAGGGUGAUAGAAAUCACACUCGUUGUACAGAGGAGCCCCGUGGAAGAACAAAGGGCUCAGAUGGGCUGUUCCCCUGCUCUUAUCUCACCCUUUUUUAUUUUAAACACCACUUUUCCGAAGGUUUCUCUGCAGGGGGUGGGGCAGGCAGGACACCAAAGGCAAAAUUCCUGUUUGCUCUUCCCGAGUGGCACAUUUGCAUGCACCAGAGGCAUCGGCAUCAGAUGGGUUUUGGGGGCAAGGCAGAGGAGGAAGAGGAGGAAUCUUCCUCCCAUUUUGUUUUGUACAUUCCUUCUGCUGGUGAACUGUUACCACCGUGGCUGGGGAGGUUUUUCUGAUGCCUCUUGGGUUUGUUCUGCAGGCAGCACUUCUGAUUCUGUCUGGCCACAUAAUGUAUUUGGCUGGUUGUCUCUCUCUCUCUCUCUAAAAAUUCCCAAUUUUCUUGGUUUAAUUUUUUUUUUGGUUUAUUUUUUUUUCUUUGUGGCAUUUUAAUGUCUCACAACUUGCACCUUUUCCAAGAAAUUAAAGGCCUGUAAACAAACAGCUGUUUUACAGGCAAGCUUUAAAACAGGCAGCAAGUAAGAACCCCUUGUAAAAGAGAAUUUGGGGAAAAUUUCUUCAGUGUGGGUAACACUUUUAAAAUAUUUCUUCCACAAAACUAGGUAUUACAAACAAUUCCUGAGCUAACACUCAAGUAAACCACCAUGAAUUAUUCAGGUAAUUAAAACUUUAAAACCAUAUUAGGGGAAACUAGGAGAGAGUGAAGCAUUGUUGACCUUGAAAACAAGUGAUGAGAGAAAAUCCAAGUAUGGAUGGGUGAUAGAGACAGUUCAGCUGCCUUUACCUUCAGCUUCAGGGAAGAAAAGAGAAGAGCCACAAAUCUUUUCUGCUAAUAAUUUGUUUCACACUCUGGUAGAAAAGCCAUUGGAAAUGUAUCCAAGGUUGUGCUGGAACUUUCUUGUGCUGGCACUGUAGGUCUGGCCUUUUUAUUGAGGUUAGUGAAAGCACUUCAGAGCUUGGCCCUGGGAGAUGGGGAGAGCUGGAUGGUGGGGAGCAUGCAGCCAGCAGACAAUGCAAGGAGCAGGGAUCCCAUGGCAGGGAGUGGGUUUGUCCUACUGUGAGCUUGUGUAAGAGCAAUUUUAACUCAGAUCCUUUCCUUUUGGUGAUCUAGAGUAGAUCUUUUUCCCUUCAUCACCUGAGAGUUUCCAUGUUCUUUUCUCCACUAAAACUUUCCAUCUGGUAAGUUCUGGGGAGCUCCUUUCCUGGCAGGGUGUCUUCCUGUCCUGCACCCACCCUCUCCUGCCUGGCACAUGCUGUGGAAUGCAUCAGCAGGUGCUGGGAGAGUGCAAGGGCACAAGUCAGGAGUGACAGCAGCUCAGAGCCCUUCCCAAGGGCUGGCUUUGGCAAAUUCCAGCCUGGCCCAAGGGCAAGGACUGCUCAGCUCCAGGGAACAGUGUGGCCCUGGCUCUGCAUGGAGCUGGCAUGCUGUGGGACAGGCUGAGGCUGUGGAAGGUGCUCGGUUACAAGGACUCCAGGACAGUGCUGAAAUGAAGCACAAGGGACAGAGUGUGGAGGUGGAUUAGCUGAUUAAUGCACAGCUAAUUAGGAAGUUGGAGCCAGGCAUGCAAGCCCUGCUCUCCUCCUCUCCUGGUUCUGACCCCUCUGACUGUGAGUGCAACCCAGGGAACCACUGCAGACCGCUACAGGAAAAGCAAAUAUUGUUGUUUCAAGCAGAGAAUGGUUUAUUCUACAGCAGAACCAAGGGUGUGUUCUCUUGGAGAGCCCACAUUGAGCUCAGGGGAUUGUAGCCCUCCCAGUGAGGCUGCUCCUUGUGGCUGCACAAGCCCAGGUGCCAGGUGUGCCACCCUAAACCCACGGGUGAUGAGGGGAUGUGUGUGGGGCUGCUGUGAGCACAUCCAGUGGCUCCAGAGAUGGUCCAUCAGCUCCUCCCUGCAAGCAGGUCCUUUGCUGCUGCUUGGGCCAGUUUUGGGCCAGGUGCCCAGGGCAGGAUGGAGUCACUGAGGUGCCAGUGGAGCUGUGAGGGGCAGGAUGCAGCUGGAGCAGGCACAGAAGCCAGAGAUGCUGGGGGAGAGGAGGGUACAAGCUCUGCCCUUCCCCGCUGGAGCUGUGUGAUCCUGUGUAUAAUCCCUUUAGCUUCGAUGGCACCAUGGUGAUUUACAGCACUAAUGCUUUGAUCCAGAACAUGAUGGACCAUGGGACACAAAUUAAAAGAUGAGAGAUGACUGCAAAGCACAAGUUUCCAUUUGUGGCCAGCUAUUUUGUGAAGACGUGACAGCAACCAGGUGUGAAGAUCUUGCAGGAGAUGAGGGGAAACCAAGCCAGUGCAAGCAGAUUUGUUAGAAUGUGAAUGGGAGCACAGCAGAGUAAGUGCUAUUAAUAGGAUUUACACAGAUUAGUAAACUAAUCUGUGCAUUUCAGAUUGGAUUUCAUAUUAUGGAAAAGAAAAUUAAGCCACAUACCACACAGACUUUCCAGGCAGUGAUUUGUGAGCGUGAUCUAUUUGCUGGUAGAAGUGGCUGCUCAGGAAGGUUGUGACAGCUCUGUUGGGUGGGACAGGGACACCCACUGGGAGCCCAGGAGGGGGGACAGUGCUGUAGCAUGCAGAGCUGGGCUGGUGGGUUUGGGAGACAGACAAUGAAAGGAGCAGUUUGGUUAAGGAAUGGCUUUUAAAAUGCAUUGCCAGGAGGUAAAGCAGUGUCCAGCCUUGGCUGCAUCACCACUGGUGCAGAGUUGUCCUCCUGGCUCAACUGAAAUGAGAAGCUGUGGCUGCCUCAUCUGUGGAAGUGCUCAAGGCCAGGUUGGAUGGGGCUUGGACAGCCUGGUCUGCUGGAAAGUGUCCCCACCUAUGGGAUGAGAGGAGUUUUAAGGUCCCUUCCAACCCAAACCAUUCUACAUUUCUGUGAAAAAUAACUUUCCCUGCUGUGCACGUGGGCUGAAGAGGAGCAGAAUUGGUCAGAUGUCACUGAAGGGGGGAGGCAAAGGGCUGCCCAAAGGGAAGGGCAGAGUUCUAUUGCUGUGCCCUGCUCCUGGUACCAGUGUGCAGGAGGUGGGCAGGGACAGGGAGGUGGGAGGCAUUGGCACAGCUUAGGGAGAGAUUGAGCACCCAGGACAAUUCUGAGCAGUCAUCUGUGUAAGCUGAAAGUUUCAUAUGCUAUGUAUAUAUAAUAUAAAAUAUAUAAUAUUAUCUAAAUAUAUAUACAGAUUAUAUAAUAUAAAAACAAUAUAUGUUACAUAUGAAAAUGUAAUAUAUAAUAUAUGUAAAUAUAUCCUAUACAUUUAAAUAUAUAUUUUAAUAUAUAUGCUUAUAUUAUAGAUAUAUUUAUAUAUUUAUAUAUUUAUAAAUAGGAAUAAAUAUACA
Haemorhous mexicanus (house finch) is the source of this 6875-nucleotide long non-coding RNA. RefSeq lists it as uncharacterized. The transcript has 5 exons. NCBI's taxonomy places the organism in Eukaryota, Metazoa, Chordata, Aves, Passeriformes, Fringillidae. The record is from RefSeq and is a predicted model, not a curated record.